This 397-nucleotide ribosomal RNA is filed under the name uncultured Cellulomonas sp. RNAcentral's name for it is "bacterial SSU rRNA". It matches the Rfam family "Bacterial small subunit ribosomal RNA", at positions 987 to 1382 of the family's 1533-position model. Lineage: Bacteria; Bacillati; Actinomycetota; Actinomycetes; Micrococcales; Cellulomonadaceae. The record is from RNAcentral.
UACACCGGUAACGCCCAGAGAUGGGUGCCCCUUUGUGGUCGGUGUACAGGUGGUGGCAUGGUUGUCGUCAGCUCGUGUCGUGAGAUGUUGGGUUAAGUCCCGCAACGAGCGCAACCCCUCGUCCUAUGUUGCCAGCGGGUCAUGCCGGGGACUCAUGGGAGACUGCCGGGGUCAACUCGGAGGAAGGUGGGGAUGACGUCAAAUCAUCAUGCCCCUUAUGUCUUGGGCUUCACGCAUGCUACAAUGGCCGGUACAAAGGGCUGCGAUACCGCGAGGUGGAGCGAAUCCCGGAAAGCCGGUCUCAGUUCGGAUUGGGGUCUGCAACUCGACCCCAUGAAGUCGGAGUCGCUAGUAAUCGCAGAUCAGCAACGCUGCGGUGAAUACGUUCCCGGGCCUU